This 406-nucleotide ribosomal RNA is filed under the name uncultured bacterium. RNAcentral describes it as "partial 16S ribosomal RNA". It matches the Rfam family "Bacterial small subunit ribosomal RNA", at positions 29 to 526 of the family's 1533-position model. The record is from RNAcentral.
AUUGAACGCCGACGGCAGGCCUAACCCAUGCAAGUCGAACGAGUGGCGGACGGGGGCGUAAUGUCUGGGAAUCUGCCUGAUGGAGGGGGAUAACUACGGGAAACGGUAGCUAAUACCGCAUACCAGCAGAUGGGCCCAGAUGGGAUUAGCUAGUUGGUGGGGUAACGGCUCACCAAGGCGACGAUCCCUAGCUGGGCUGAGAGGAGGACCAGCCACACUGGAACUGAGACACGGUCCAGACUCCGACGGGAGGCAGCAGUGGGGAAUAUUGCACAAUGGGCGCAAGCCUGAUACAGCCAUGCCGCGUGUAUGAAGAAGGCCUUCGGGUUGUAAAGUACUUUCAGCGGGGCGGCGUUACCCGCAGAAGAAGCACCGGCUAACUCCGUGCCAGCAGCCGCGGUAAUAC